This 499-nucleotide ribosomal RNA is filed under the name uncultured bacterium. RNAcentral's name for it is "bacterial SSU rRNA". It matches the Rfam family "Bacterial small subunit ribosomal RNA", at positions 28 to 516 of the family's 1533-position model. The record is from RNAcentral.
GACGAACGCUGGCGGCGUGCCUAACACAUGCAAGUCGAGGGGCAGCGCAGUGUAGCAAUACAUGGGCGGCGACCGGCGCACGGGUGCGUAACGCGUAUCCAACCUUCCCGUUACUCCGGGAUAGCCUUCCGAAAGGGGAGAUUAAUACCCGGAUGGUGUUCAAGUGGUGCAUAUUAUUUGAACUAAAGAUUUAUCGGUAACGGAUGGGGAUGCGUACCAUUAGAUAGUAGGCGGGGUAACGGCCCACCUAGUCUACGAUGGUUAGGGGUUCUGAGAGGAAGGUCCCCCANACUGGAACUGAGACACGGUCCAGACUCCUACGGGAGGCAGCAGUGAGGAUAUUGGUCAAUGGCCUAAGGCUGAACCAGCCAAGUAGCGUGAAGGAUGAAGGUUCUAUGGAUUGUAAACUUCUUUUAUACGGGGAAUAACGACCAAUCUACGUGUAGAUGUCUGCAUGUACCGUAUGAAUAAGCAUCGGCUAAACUCCGUGCCAGCAGCC